GAUGAACGCUGGCGGCGUGCCUAAUACAUGCAAGUCGAGCGAACAGACGAGGAGCUUGCUCCUCUGACGUUAGCGGCGGACGGGUGAGUAACACGUGGAUAACCUACCUAUAAGACUGGGAUAACUUCGGGAAACCGGAGCUAAUACCGGAUAAUAUAUUGAACCGCAUGGUUCAAUAGUGAAAGACGGUUUUGCUGUCACUUAUAGAUGGAUCCGCGCCGCAUUAGCUAGUUGGUAAGGUAACGGCUUACCAAGGCAACGAUGCGUAGCCGACAUGAGAGGGUGAUCGGCCACACUGGAAGUGAGACACGGUCCAGACGCCUACGGGAGGCAGCAGUAGGGAAUCUUCCGCAAUGGGCGAGAGCCUGACGGAGCAGCGCCGCGUGAGUGAUGAAGGUCUUCGGAUCGUAAAACUCUGUUAUUAGGGAAGAACAAAUGUGUAAGUAACUAUGCACGUCUUGACGGUACCUGAUCAGAAAGCCACGGCUAACUACGUG
This 497-nucleotide ribosomal RNA is filed under the name uncultured bacterium. RNAcentral's name for it is "partial 16S ribosomal RNA". It matches the Rfam family "Bacterial small subunit ribosomal RNA", at positions 28 to 507 of the family's 1533-position model. The record is from RNAcentral.